ACGACGCUGGCGGCGUGCCUAAUACAUGCAAGUCGAACGGUCUUUCUAUGGAAGCUUGCUUCCACUGAGAAGAUAGUGGCGAACGGGUGAGUAACACGUGGGUAACCUGCCCAUAAGAGGGGGAUAACAUCCGGAAACGGGUGCUAAUACCGCAUAGUUUUCUUGAUCGCAUGAUUGAGAAAGGAAAGACGGCCUUUGUGCUGUCGCUUAUGGAUGGACCCGCGGCGUAUUAGUUAGUUGGUGAGGUAAUGGCUCACCAAGACGAUGAUACGUAGCCGACCUGAGAGGGUGAUCGGCCACAUUGGGACUGAGACACGGCCCAAACUCCUACGGGAGGCAGCAGUAGGGAAUCUUCCGCAAUGGACGAAAGUCUGACGGAGCAACGCCGCGUGAGUGAAGAAGGUUUUCGGAAUCGUAAAACUCUGUUGUCAGAGAAGAACAAGUUGGAGAGUAACUGCUCCAGCCUUGACGGUAUCUGACCAGAAAGCCACGGCUAACUACGUGCCAGCAGCUGC
This 515-nucleotide ribosomal RNA is filed under the name uncultured bacterium. Its description in RNAcentral is "bacterial SSU rRNA". It matches the Rfam family "Bacterial small subunit ribosomal RNA", at positions 32 to 518 of the family's 1533-position model. The record is from RNAcentral.